This 156-nucleotide ribosomal RNA is filed under the name Triticum aestivum (bread wheat). RNAcentral describes it as "partial small subunit ribosomal RNA". Lineage: Eukaryota; Viridiplantae; Streptophyta; Magnoliopsida; Poales; Poaceae. The record is from RNAcentral.
AUGACGAUCAUCAGCUGGAACUGCCGGGGCCUCGGGCAGCCACGGACAGUUCAAGAGCUAGUGUGUUUGUUGCACACAUACAAGCCCAAGCUCGUGUUCAUUUCUGAAACUCGGCAGAGCAAUAAGUAUGCGAAAGGAUCGAGAAGAGGUGUCUAG